Molecule: small RNA, 840 nt
Filed under: Pongo abelii (Sumatran orangutan)
Lineage: Eukaryota; Metazoa; Chordata; Mammalia; Primates; Hominidae
Description: retained intron
Source: RNAcentral
GCUUGGCUGCGGCCAGGUGCUGGCUGAGGCCAUGGGCGACCGCGGCGGCUCCCGGCGCCGGAGGACAGGGUCGCGGCCCUCGAGCCACGGCGGCGGCGGGCCUGCGGCGGCGGAAGAGGAGGUACGGGACGCCGCUGCGGGCCCCGACGUGGGAGCCGCGGGAGACGCGCCAGCCCCGGCCCCCAACAAGGACGGAGACGCCGGCGUAGGCAGCGGCCACUGGGAGCUGAGGUGCCAUCGCCUGCAGGAUUCUUUGUUCAGCUCUGACAGUGGCUUCAGCAACUACCGUGGCAUCCUGAACUGGUGUGUGGUGAUGCUGGUAUGGCAUCCUGGUGGACCCCAUCCAGGUGGUUUCUCUGUUCCUGAAGGAUCCCUAUAGCUGGCCCGCCCCAUGCCUGGUUAUUGCGGCCAAUGUCUUUGCUGUGGCUGCGUUCCAGGUUGAGAAGUGCCUGGCGGUGGGUGCCCUGACGGAGCAGGCGGGACUGCUGUUGCACGUGGCCAACCUGGCCGCCAUUCUGUGUUUCCCAGCGACUGUGGUCUUACUGGUUGAGUCUGUCACUCCAGGUGCGCCCCCAUCCCACCCUGCCUGUCUGUCUUGGGCCGGCCACGGGCAUGGCCUCUGGCUGUGGCCCUGUGGAGGCCUGAGUCCACCUCUCCUGCAGUGGGCUCCCUGCUGGUGCUGAUGGCGCACACCAUCCUCUUCCUCAAGCUCUUCUCCUACCGCGACGUCAACUUGUGGUGCCGCAGGGCCAGGGCCAAGGCUGCCUCUGCAGGGAAGAAGGCCAGCAGUGCUGCUGCCCCGCACACCGUGAGCUACCCGGACAAUCUGACCUACCGCGG